RNAcentral lists this ribosomal RNA (1459 nucleotides) under uncultured bacterium. RNAcentral's name for it is "partial 16S ribosomal RNA". It matches the Rfam family "Bacterial small subunit ribosomal RNA". The record is from RNAcentral.
UCAGGACGAACGCUGGCGGCGUGCUUAAUACAUGCAAGUCGAGCGAGGUUACUGUGACAGAUCCCUUCGGGGUGAAGUUGCUUUAACCUAGCGGCGGACGGGUGAGUAACGCGUGGGUAACCUACCCUAAAGUUCGGGAUAACAGCGGGAAACCGCUGCUAAUACCGGAUGCCUUUACCGUGUGGCAUCACAGGGUAAAGAAAGGUAACGCUUUAGGAUGGGCCCGCGUCCCAUUAGCUAGUUGGUGAGGUAACAGCUCACCAAGGCGACGAUGGGUAGCCGGCCUGAGAGGGUGGACGGCCACACUGGGACUGAGACACGGCCCAGACUCCUACGGGAGGCAGCAGUAGGGAAUAUUGCGCAAUGGACGGAAGUCUGACGCAGCGACGCCGCGUGAGCGAUGAAGGCCUUCGGGUUGUAAAGCUCUGUCCUUGGGGAAGAAGGUCUUCGGACUUGACGGUACCCAAGAAGAAAGCCCCGGCUAACUACGUGCCAGCAGCCGCGGUAAUACGUAGGGGGCGAGCGUUGUCCGGAAUUACUGGGCGUAAAGGGUGCGUAGGNNNCCCUUUAAGUCAGNUGUGAAANNCCGCNNNUUAACNGCGGAAUUGCAUUUGAAACNNNNNNNGCUUGAGUGUNNNNGAGGGUNANNGNNAUUCCCAGUGUAGCNNUGAANUNNNNNNANNNNNNGAGGAACACCAGUNNNNNNGNNNACUGCCUGNACGANNNNNGACNNNGAGGCNCGAAAGCUAGGGGAGCAAACAGGAUUAGAUNNNNNNGUAGUCCUAGCCGUAAACGAUGGGUACUAGGUGUAGGUGGUUUCGAUACCANNNGUGCCGUAGUUAACGCAUUAAGUACCCCGCCUGGGGAGUACGUGCGCAAGCAUGAAACUCAAAGGAAUUGACGGGGGCCCGCACAAGCGGUGGAGCAUGUGGUUUAAUUCGAAGCAACGCGAAGAACCUUACCAGGUCUUGACAUCCCUGGACAGCUGUGGAAACACAGUUUCCCUUCGGGGCCAGGAGACAGGUGGUGCAUGGUUGUCGUCAGCUCGUGUCGUGAGAUGUUGGGUUAAGUCCCGCAACGAGCGCAACCCUUGCCUUUAGUUGCCAUCAUUAAGUUGGGGACUCUAAAGGGACUGCCGGUGACAAAUCGGAGGAAGGUGGGGAUGACGUCAAAUCAUCAUGCCCCUUAUGAUCUGGGCUACACACGUGCUACAAUGGGUGGUACAGAGGGAAGCGAAGCCGUGAGGCGGAGCGAAUCCCAGAAAGCCACUCUCAGUUCGGAUUGCAGGCUGCAACUCGCCUGCAUGAAGUCGGAAUCGCUAGUAAUCGCAGGUCAGCAUACUGCGGUGAAUACGUUCCCGGGCCUUGUACACACCGCCCGUCACACCACGAAAGUUCGCAACACCCGAAGCCGGUGGCCUAACCGCAAGGAGGGAGCCGUCGAAGGUGGGGCGGAUGAU